Molecule: ribosomal RNA, 468 nt
Filed under: uncultured bacterium
Lineage: Bacteria
Description: partial 16S ribosomal RNA
Rfam family: Bacterial small subunit ribosomal RNA
Source: RNAcentral
GACGAACGCUGGCGGCGUGCUUAACACAUGCAAGUCGAACGGAAAGGCCCUGCGUUUGCGGGGUGCUCGAGUGGCGAACGGGUGAGUAAAACGUGAGUAACCUGCCCUUGACUUUGGGAUAACUUCAGGAAAAUGGGGCUAAUACCGGAUAGGAGCUCCUGCUGCAUGGUGGGGGUUGGAAAGUUUCGGCGGUUGGGGAUGGACUCGCGGCUUAUCAGCUUGUUGGUGGGGUAGUGGCUUACCAAGGCUUUGACGGGUAGCCGGCCUGAGAGGGUGACCGGCCACAUUGGGACUGCGAGACGGCGCAGAAUCCUACGGGAGGCAGCAGUCGGGAAUAUUGCACAAUGGGCGGAAGCCUGAUGCAGCAACGCCGCGUGCGGGAUGCCGGCCUUCGGGUUGUAAACCGCUUUCGCCUGUGACGAAGCGUGAGUGACGGUAAUGGGUCAAGAAGCACCGGCUAACUACGUG